UGUUCCUAGCAAUAAAGCCGAAACUAAGACAUUGGCCUAGUAAUUCUUUUACUCUCACUGUGUCAUAGCUAUUACUAGUCCCUGAACGGAAGCAUGAGUUAUAAAUACUGUUUUCUUCCUUCCUUCCUUCCUAUUUUUUGGAAACAGAGUCUCAGCCCUGGCUGGCCUGGAAUUCACAGAGAUCUGUCUGCCAUCUUUCCUUCUGAGUGCUGGGAUUAAAGGACAGACACCAUCAUUAAAUUCAUGAAAUACUGGGAAUCAGAUCAGUCCAAGGCUUUCUCAGAGGCCCUGAUAGAAGAAGAAAGGGAAUACUAGUUCUCUGUCUUUGCAGACUUGGCAAGUAGAAUCUCUGGGAAGUUUUGCUUCUUGACUGGUUUGCAAAAUAGCAGAGCCUCUUUCAGCGUCUCCUUCCGCUGACAGGAGACCAUCCAGAUGCUGUCAAACACUGGCUGGAACAUGUUUACAUGCGAACAUGUUUCAACCAUAUGGACAUCAGCUAAUGGUGUGGGGGACAGACUACCUUGGGAAGAUGAAUGGAAGAGACAGGCCCGAGUGGUGAGGUUCUUGGGCACACACGCAAGUGUGCUGGGGUCAAGCGGACUUACCCGAUAAGCUGAGGAGCGAGAAGAGCAGCAGCAAGCUGAGGCUGAGGCGCAGCGUCCCCGCUGCGUUGCAGUCCACUUUGGAGUUCUUGCAAGAGCACACCUGCACCCUGAGGUCCGUGAUGUUCGUCAUGGGGGGCUUCCCUGAAUCUGUCACCAUGAUGGGCAGGUUGUAGUUGGCCUUGUUCAGAUUCUGAAGCAGGCUCACGAGGGCGUGGGUGUCUGCAAGACAGGAAGUCCCUGUGAGAGAGGGGAAGCCCUCUGCCAGAUGCAGAGUGAGGUUCUGGGGCCUUGGUGUGCACAGCAGUCGCUGUGUGCAGAUGACCUGUGAUCAUAGGUGUGUCUCAGUGAAAUCUAUUACCAUCAAGCAAGUUCCUUGGUGGCAAUAGCCACAUUUCACAGAGUGGUGACAGGCUGCAUGGGGUGAACCAUUCAGAGACAGGGUCUUCAUUAUGAACAGUUCUGCGGUUUGGUGCUACAACAACCAGCUCUGGCCUUUCCUAAUAGAAAUUUCUGUGUUCCACUGUACAAUACAGUUUUACCCCCUCUACUGCCCCAUCCUAUAACUGGAGCAAAAGUGAAUUCUGGUGAUGAAAGGAUCAGACUAACUCUGUAACCUAUAUGUCUUCUAAAGCCUAUAGUUUUGAGUUUUAGGCCCAGGUUAAGCUAAAGCCUCUUAGUACCUUUCCAGAGAAUGGAGGAAUGUGAGGACAGAUAUAAAAAAGUGAGCAAGCAAUGACCUUCACUCAGCAAAAAGAAUGGCCAGACCCUUUUCUUCCAGAUAGUGUUUCUUAGCAACCAACCCAGAUGGCCUCAGUCCUUCUUCUGAGUAGCCCCUGACCUCUGGCCAAAAGCCUGCAGCCCCGAUCGCCAAGGAUGAGCUAAUCACCCCCACCUCCACCUUUAAUUGCAGCCACAUCCACACUUGGCAGGACUGGCCAAGCUUGAGCACCUAAGACUAACCAAUUAUCUUACUUUAUAGCUUCCUCAUCCAAUCCUGAAUUGCCAAGACUGCAAUCCCUAAAAAUUCCCACACCUUGUCCUUUAAAAACCCAAGGCCUUUGUCUCCCAGUGUCACUCUUUGCUGACCGGCAGGGGUGACGCCAUUGUGCAAUGGUUAAAAUAAACCUCUUGCGAUUUUGCAUCGAUGA
Long non-coding RNA from Meriones unguiculatus (Mongolian gerbil), 1753 nucleotides. RefSeq lists it as uncharacterized. The record is from RefSeq and is a predicted model, not a curated record. The transcript has 2 exons. Lineage: Eukaryota; Metazoa; Chordata; Mammalia; Rodentia; Muridae.